GAGUUGGCUUACACUCGCCACAAGCUACAUCAGGGUCACUUCAGUACAUUACAUAAUCAUCAAGAGUAAGAGCAGGGUCCGACUAUGGAUGAAAACAAACGAGAAAAGAAGAACGACGUCCAUCCUUGCUAUCCCAGGCUGCCGGCGUGGAACCCAUCCUAGAUCGAUGAAGAAGAAGAAGAACAAGCAACUCCAAAUGAACAAUCAACGCGCUCGCGUCAAGUAAUCUUUACCUGUACCUGCAACUGGUGUUGAAGUAGUCUAUGAGCCAUAGGGGACUCAGCAAUCUCAUUUCCAAAGGUAUCAAGACUAGCAAAGCUUAAUGGGUGAGGCAUGGUUAAGUGGUGAGGUUGCAGCAGCGGCUAAGCAUAUAUUUGGUGGCUACACUUACGAGUACAAGAAAUAAGAGGGUGAAGAUCUACGCAUAAGCCCACCGUGUCCUUGAUCGGAGUAAGAACGCACGAAAGAGACAGUCACGGUUACGCACACAGUUGGCAUGUUUUAAUUAAGUUAACUUCAAGUUAUCUAGAACCAGUGUUAAACAAAGUUUCCACGUUGCCACAUAACCGCGGGCAUGGCAUUCCAAAAGAUUUAACCCUGCAGGGGUGCUCCAACUAGUCCAUCACAAAUUACCACAAGCCGCAUAGAAAUUCUCAAUCACGAAGCUCACGAUCUCGUCGGAUUCCCUAGUGGAAAACCUCAACUCUGAGAUUACCCAAAGCAUCACCGGAAUCCCGAUGCACCAGAUAUCUCGUCAAAGGUAAAACAAAUCCAGCAAGGCCGCCCAACUUGUCGACGAUCUCGAUAGGAGUCGCGUACCUCGUUCUCAGGACACGGCGGAUGAGCUAGACAUCGGGAUCACUAAACCUCCGUGUGACCAGAGGGCCGCCGGACAUCGCUCAGGUGGGGCCAACACUCAUGAGGAGCACUGGCCCGGAGGUUGAUUAAAUUAUCCUUGGGGUCCGGAAAGUCCCUAUGCAAUUUUAUUAGGUGUUUAGGCAAAUGUAGUACCAAAGUUGGGCCUUGCCAGACCAGCUUUAAUCUAAAACGAAUUAUCAAGGGGCUCCCCAUAACAACCCUGAUCGUGUUAGGAGCGCUCAUUUAUGGAACAUAACACUGGUAGCCGGAAACUAAGGGGGCAAACGUGGAACAAAACACCAGGCUAGAAAAUCCGAGCCUUCCACCUUUUACCAAGUAUAUAGGUGCAUUAAAUUAAAUAGCAUUUAAUAUGAUGAUAUAACAAGGAACCCAUUCUUUCACAUGGAAGCAUCUGCACCUGCACCUAGCAACGCUAUCAACAGGGUUAAGCAAGCAGUAACAUAGCCAAUCAGUGGUUUGCUAGGUCGAACAGGUUGAAGGUUAUCAUGGCAUUGUUGAGAGGCUGAUAUUUAACAUGUGGUAGGCAACGAGACAUAACGAUAGAAGCGAUAAACUAGCAUGGCAAUGAUAGUAAUGGUAUCUGGGGAAAUGGUCAUCUUGCCUGAGAUCCCGCUUGGAAGAAGAA
RNAcentral lists this long non-coding RNA (1504 nucleotides) under Hordeum vulgare. RNAcentral describes it as "long non-coding RNA (HVUL_LNC015488)". Lineage: Eukaryota; Viridiplantae; Streptophyta; Magnoliopsida; Poales; Poaceae. The record is from RNAcentral.